CAUACAUUCAUCAUAUUCACAUCAUCACAAACAAAACUUCUUUUGAAGGUGAUAAAAUGAAGAUCAACUCGUGUUUGGCUUUUGCACUUCUUCUUCUUCUUCUCGUUUCCUACGCUUUGGCGGUAGAGACCACGACGACCCAGGAAGUAAAAGAUGUAAGGGAUAAGGUAAACACAGCAGGUCAAGGUAAUAUGGUUUUCUUCAACAGACCACGAAAAGGCGGCAGUGGUAAUGGUGGCAGAGUAUGCAUUCAACAAUGCUGUUAUAAACAUGCUACUUCUCCGUGCAAAACAUGUUGCCGCUCACCAGAAGAAGCCAAAGCCUUCGCUGAAGAAGAAGCACAUCCGUAGACGUCUUAGAGUUAUGUGUAAGAAUAAAUCCGUGUAUUCUAGUAGACACUGAAUAAACCGGUACAUGGCAAUAUGGCAUCGUAUUACAACU
Long non-coding RNA from Helianthus annuus (common sunflower), 441 nucleotides. RefSeq lists it as uncharacterized. The record is from RefSeq and is a predicted model, not a curated record. Lineage: Eukaryota; Viridiplantae; Streptophyta; Magnoliopsida; Asterales; Asteraceae. The transcript is spliced from 2 exons.